GGCACUAUCGUCUACCUGGUUAGGACGCCACUCUUUCAAGGUGGAAAAACGAGUUCGAAUCUCGUUAGUGCUGCUCA
This 77-nucleotide transfer RNA is filed under the name Bacteriophage sp. Its description in RNAcentral is "tRNA-Glu". It matches the Rfam family "tRNA". From Rfam's summary of the family: Transfer RNA (tRNA) molecules are approximately 80 nucleotides in length. Their secondary structure includes four short double-helical elements and three loops (D, anti-codon, and T loops). Further hydrogen bonds mediate the characteristic L-shaped molecular structure. tRNAs have two regions of fundamental functional importance: the anti-codon, which is responsible for specific mRNA codon recognition, and the 3' end, to which the tRNAs corresponding amino acid is attached (by aminoacyl-tRNA synthetases). tRNAs cope with the degeneracy of the genetic code in two manners: having more than one tRNA (with a specific anti-codon) for a particular amino acid; and 'wobble' base-pairing, i.e. permitting non-standard base-pairing at the 3rd anti-codon position. The record is from RNAcentral.